RNAcentral lists this transfer RNA (69 nucleotides) under Grammomys dolichurus (South African thicket rat). RNAcentral's name for it is "tRNA-Gly". It matches the Rfam family "tRNA". Rfam says of the family: Transfer RNA (tRNA) molecules are approximately 80 nucleotides in length. Their secondary structure includes four short double-helical elements and three loops (D, anti-codon, and T loops). Further hydrogen bonds mediate the characteristic L-shaped molecular structure. tRNAs have two regions of fundamental functional importance: the anti-codon, which is responsible for specific mRNA codon recognition, and the 3' end, to which the tRNAs corresponding amino acid is attached (by aminoacyl-tRNA synthetases). tRNAs cope with the degeneracy of the genetic code in two manners: having more than one tRNA (with a specific anti-codon) for a particular amino acid; and 'wobble' base-pairing, i.e. permitting non-standard base-pairing at the 3rd anti-codon position. Lineage: Eukaryota; Metazoa; Chordata; Mammalia; Rodentia; Muridae. The record is from RNAcentral.
ACUCUCUUAGUAUAACAAAUACAACUGACUUCCAAUUAGUAGAUCCCGAUAAAAUUUCGGAAGGGAGUA